UGGCAAUUAGUGAUGAAUUGCUGCAACUGCCUCCUAGAAGUGGGAUCAGCAGGACCCCUGCUUUGUGCCUGAGAAACAAGGGGAUCCCUCUCAAGCCUGGAUGGCUCUAAUAGAUAAAUCCUCUUAGGAUGGUGGGUUUCUUUUGAUCUCCCCCAUUCCUUCCCCUUUGGUACUCCUCGAACAAAAGCUAAUUCAUCAAGUUUUUGGGAUGUGGUAGGCUACUGUUUAGUGCUUUAUUGAACUCUUAUUCUGAAUCAGCAUUGGGAUUAGGGCUUUAUAUAAUUUGAGUAUAAACACAGGAGAGAAGCCAUGCCCAUUUAGCAGAUAUAAAAACAGGCCCAGACAUUAAGGGUGGUGGUCAGCCAGCUGGCUGGUGGCAUUCAGCUAUUUCACAAGGUAUUUCCUGAGCCUCUGUUCAGGUAAUCGUUGCCAUGAGGAGUCGCAGUCUUGGUUUAGAGAAGGGAGAAGACAUUAAACUUGUAAGCUAAUUAAUGAAGCAAUCUCUAAGUGUUCCUGUGGAGCCAGGGCAGAACCAGGAUUCCCAGAACCUGAGACUAACAGGAGCAGAAAGCAUUGCCCUGCCACGUUGGGAAGGAUCUCAUUGAGCAAUCUCAUCUGAACAUCCCUGAGGCUCACCACAGCCUGACAGCUAACCAUGCAAAUUUGUAGCACUGUGCCCAUGUGCUAUGAGAUGCAGAGUGGAGCUGGCAUUUAAGAGGUUCCUAGGAGUUUAGAUUCCCAGCACUGGAACUGUAUCCCUCCUGCCAGGGGCAGGAGCAGCCCUGGUACCACCCUUGCCAGCCUCAGAUGGAUGAAAUGCACAGUCUUGUCAGUGAAAGUAACCCAGGAGUCUCUAGAUGGGAAGGUCCUAGGUAAUUUAACAAGAAAGACUCUGAGGUUCUGAUUAUCGCCUCUGCUCUCAGAAGUCCAGGGAGGGGACCCUAACAGUUUUCCAUAGCCACUAUAGCAGGUUUCUGCUUGAGUGCCUGUCCCCCAAACCCCGCCUCACUGAGUCAGUCAGCUGUCAGCUGUCUCAGCCAAGGUGUCCACAAAUAGCUUCUCUAUGUGAUCUCACCGGAAGCUCAUCUGAGUGACUCAUGAUUCCCUUUGAGAGAUUGCCUCCUUGGGGAGGGUGGGAAAUACUCCUACCUCUGUCUCUAUUUCAGCCAGGAGGAGCCAGGAGUGGGGGAAAUCCCUUACUAGGCCACAGGCAAUUUUAAACAAAGGAAAAAGUUGCCAAAUCUGUAGUAAGGUUUGUAAUGAAAAUAAGAAAGGACGAGCCUCUCUUGGGGCCAGAGAGAUGACUCCAUGGUUAAGAGUGCUUGCUGCUCUUGCAAGGGACCCAGGUUCAGAUCCCAGCACCUACCACACUCAAAACUGCCUAUAACUGCAGUUCCAGGGACUCUGAAAUAUCUUCAUUUCCAUGGGUACUUAUAAACACUUGGUACACAUACAUAUGCUUAGACGUAAGUAUACAAACAAAAUCUUUUCAAAUGCCAAUUGUCAAGUCAACUUUAUAACAAAGCAGUCAGUGACUGCUGAUAUGUCAGAGAAGGGCAGUCAUCCCUCUGGUCCAUCACAUUUGGGGUGACCACCCUCCCAUCACCAGCUUAUAGGAGCCUUCUGUGUCCACUCCCUGGCCAGAGGUACCAUUUUUUUUUUGAGCCAUCUUGUAUUCUAGGUACCAUGUAGGUAUUACAUACUCUGCGAGAUACCUUAGGUAUUUGGAGCCUCAUUUUGCUUGAUAAGUGUGUGUUUUCCACAGUUCUGUGUCACUCCAUAGCAUGGUUUGUAUUUU
This 1798-nucleotide long non-coding RNA is filed under the name Mus musculus (house mouse). RNAcentral's name for it is "long non-coding RNA chr2:103661240-103663038". The record is from RNAcentral. Lineage: Eukaryota; Metazoa; Chordata; Mammalia; Rodentia; Muridae.